GAUGAACGCUGGCGGCGUGCCUAAUACAUGCAAGUCGAGCGAACAGACGAGGAGCUUGCUCCUCUGACGUUAGCGGCGGACGGGUGAGUAACACGUGGAUAACCUACCUAUAAGACUGGGAUAACUUCGGGAAACCGGAGCUAAUACCGGAUAAUAUAUUGAACCGCAUGGUUCAAUAGUGAAAGACGGUUUUGCUGUCACUUAUAGAUGGAUCCGCGCCGCAUUAGCUAGUUGGUAAGGUAACGGCUUACCAAGGCAACGAUGCGUAGCCGACCUGAGGGAGUGGUCGCCCACACUGGAGCGGAGACACGGUCCAGGCUACUGAGGGAGGCAGCAGUAGGCAAUCUUCCGCAGUGGGCGGGAGCCUUACGGAGCAACGCCACGUGAGUGAUGAAGGUCUUCGGAUCGUAAAACUCUGUUAUUAGGGAAGAACAAAUGUGUAAGUAACUGUGCACGUCUUGACGGUACCGAAUCAGAAAGCCACGGCUAACUACGUG
RNAcentral lists this ribosomal RNA (497 nucleotides) under uncultured bacterium. Its description in RNAcentral is "partial 16S ribosomal RNA". It matches the Rfam family "Bacterial small subunit ribosomal RNA", at positions 28 to 507 of the family's 1533-position model. The record is from RNAcentral.